This 351-nucleotide ribosomal RNA is filed under the name Escherichia coli. RNAcentral describes it as "partial 23S ribosomal RNA". It matches the Rfam family "Bacterial large subunit ribosomal RNA", at positions 1 to 388 of the family's 2925-position model. The record is from RNAcentral. Lineage: Bacteria; Pseudomonadati; Pseudomonadota; Gammaproteobacteria; Enterobacterales; Enterobacteriaceae.
GGUUAAGCGACUAAGCGUACACGGUGGAUGCCCUGGCAGUCAGAGGCGAUGAAGGACGUGCUAAUCUGCGAUAAGCGUCGGUAAGGUGAUAUGAACCGUUAUAACCGGCGAUUUCCGAAUGGGGAAACCCAGUGUGUUUCGACACACUAUCAUUAACUGAAUCCAUAGGUUAAUGAGGCGAACCGGGGGAACUGAAACAUCUAAGUACCCCGAGGAAAAGAAAUCAACCGAGAUUCCCCCAGUAGCGGCGAGCGAACGGGGAGGAGCCCAGAGUCUGAAUCAGUGUGUGUGUUAGUGGAAGCGUCUGGAAAGGCGCGCGAUACAGGGUGACAGCCCCGUACACAAAAAUGC